GCCCUUGUGGAUCAGCGGUAGAUCUCCUCCUCUCAGUGUGGAGUUCAUAAUGAAAUCACGGAGGCAAUGUGGGUUCAAAUCCCACCGAGGGCA
Molecule: non-coding RNA, 93 nt
Organism: Mycena maculata
Lineage: Eukaryota; Fungi; Basidiomycota; Agaricomycetes; Agaricales; Mycenaceae
Source: the annotation of a GenBank genome assembly